This 82-nucleotide small nuclear RNA is filed under the name Fukomys damarensis (Damara mole-rat). Its description in RNAcentral is "U4 spliceosomal RNA (ENSFDAG00000006923.1)". It matches the Rfam family "U4 spliceosomal RNA", at positions 1 to 82 of the family's 138-position model. From Rfam's summary of the family: U4 small nuclear RNA (U4 snRNA) is a component of the major U2-dependent spliceosome. The structure of U4 snRNA from yeast and human has been reported. Lineage: Eukaryota; Metazoa; Chordata; Mammalia; Rodentia; Bathyergidae. The record is from RNAcentral.
AGCUUUGUGCAGUCACAGUAUCAUAGCCAAUAAGGUUUAUCUGAGGUGAGAUUAUUGCUAAUUGAAAACUUAAACUGAUCCA